RNAcentral lists this ribosomal RNA (319 nucleotides) under uncultured Pseudomonadota bacterium. RNAcentral describes it as "bacterial SSU rRNA". It matches the Rfam family "Bacterial small subunit ribosomal RNA", at positions 30 to 351 of the family's 1533-position model. Lineage: Bacteria; Pseudomonadati; Pseudomonadota. The record is from RNAcentral.
AUUGAACGCUGGCGGUAUGCUUAACACAUGCAAGUCGAACGGUAGCAGCUCUUCGGAGGCUGACGAGUGGCGGACGGGUGAGUAACGCGUAGGAAUCUGCCUAUUAGUGGGGGACAACAUGUGGAAACGCAUGCUAAUACCGCAUACGCCCUACGGGGGAAAGGAGGGGAUCUUCGGACCUUUCGCUAAUAGAUGAGCCUGCGUUAGAUUAGCUAGUUGGUGGGGUAAAGGCCUACCAAGGCGACGAUCUAUAGCUGUUCUGAGAGGAAGAUCAGCCACACUGGGACUGAGACACGGCCCAGACUCCUACGGGAGGCUG